RNAcentral lists this non-coding RNA (24 nucleotides) under Cricetulus griseus (Chinese hamster). The record is from RNAcentral. Lineage: Eukaryota; Metazoa; Chordata; Mammalia; Rodentia; Cricetidae.
UAGGAAGGUAGAAGAGAAAGCUUU